GACGAACGCUGGCGGCGUGCUUAACACAUGCAAGUCGAACGCUGAAGCUUGGUGCUUGCACUGGGUGGAUGAGUGGCGAACGGGUGAGUAAUACGUGAGUAACCUGCCCUUGACUCUGGGAUAAGCCUGGGAAACUGGGUCUAAUACUGGAUACGACAUGUCACCGCAUGGUGGUGUGUGGAAAGGUUUUUACUGGUUUUGGAUGGGCUCACGGCCUAUCAGCUUGUUGGUGGGGUAAUGGCUCACCAAGGCGACGACGGGUAGCCGGCCUGAGAGGGUGACCGGCCACACUGGGACUGAGACACGGCCCAGACUCCUACGGGAGGCAGCAGUGGGGAAUAUUGCAGAAUGGGCGGAAGCCUGAUGCAGCGACGCCGCGUGAGGGAUGACGGCCUUCGGGUUGUAAACCUCUUUCAGCACGGAAGAAGCGAAAGUGACGGUACGUGCAGAAGAAGCGCCGGCUAACUACGUG
RNAcentral lists this ribosomal RNA (472 nucleotides) under uncultured bacterium. Its description in RNAcentral is "partial 16S ribosomal RNA". It matches the Rfam family "Bacterial small subunit ribosomal RNA", at positions 28 to 507 of the family's 1533-position model. The record is from RNAcentral.